This is a transfer RNA of Methanosarcina acetivorans, 72 nucleotides long. It matches the Rfam family "tRNA". From Rfam's summary of the family: Transfer RNA (tRNA) molecules are approximately 80 nucleotides in length. Their secondary structure includes four short double-helical elements and three loops (D, anti-codon, and T loops). The record is from Rfam. Lineage: Archaea; Methanobacteriati; Methanobacteriota; Methanomicrobia; Methanosarcinales; Methanosarcinaceae.
GCCAAGAUGGCGGAGCGGCUACGCAAUCGCCUGCAGAGCGAUUUCAUUCCAGUUCGAAUCUGGAUCUUGGCU